CAAUGACAUAAUGCUUCAUGGUUAAACAUCAUUGUCAUUUGUCUAGAUUUCCCAUAACCAUGGAAACACACCCCUGGGUCUCCAGAAAGAUUUUAUUGAAGAGGAUAGACCUACCCUGAAUGGGAGUGGUACCUUGAGGUUCUGGAUCACAUAAAAAGGAAACUCAAGCUUGGCACUAGACGUCAUCUCUUUGCUUCCUGACUGGAUACGACAUGAGCAGUGGCCUUACUCUCCUGCCCUAUCUGUGCACCAAAAUAAACUCUGACUUGAGAAGUAAAGUGACUAACACAUGCCUCUAGUCACUGGAGUCUGGUGCCCUUUAUGGAGUCUGGUGCCCUUCAAAUGUACUUUGAAUGAAGGAACAAAGGCAGAAGAGGCACGGAUAUGGCAGAGGCAACAUGGACACUGGUAUCUGAGUGAAGAAUUCAUGGCAACAGAGUCAGGACCUUCAGCAAGGACCAGAGGAGGGAAGAGGCAACACAGAACUAAUCUAAUGGGACAACGCUGUCCUAGGAGCCAGGAGCCACUCACGUGGCUCCAAUUGCUUUAUUAAAACAAGAUUAUGGCGAGUAUGGAAGCUGAGAGGCCUGUCCAUAAACAAUCUCAGCCACCUGGUUGGCAGAGGAUGCAGCUUGGAGCAAAUAUGGAGACGGUACGAAGUUGUCAUUUUGAUCCUGUAAGAAUUAUUUGAAGAAUGGGAGUGGGGUAUACAAUAGAAAUUCCAAAUGACUUUCCUGUGCUUCACC
This 746-nucleotide long non-coding RNA is filed under the name Mus spretus (western wild mouse). RNAcentral's name for it is "lncRNA (ENSMSPG00010009813.1)". The record is from RNAcentral. Lineage: Eukaryota; Metazoa; Chordata; Mammalia; Rodentia; Muridae.